CUCCGACGGAUCCGCCUCGCGCCUGGGCGAAAUAGGCGCUGCGCUGGCUCCUCGGCCGGGCCCGCGCACCCGACGGACGCCGAGCCGCGCACCGCCUCGACUUCGCCGUUCAGUUUGAAAUGCAAGGACAUGUGCUUCUUUUAAAGAUUUAUGUCUCUGUUGAUGUUGUUCCUCUAAUUCUUCAAGCUCUUGGCCUGCCUUUAGUCAAGUCGAGCUCAUUCUGAAGUCUCUCCUGGGAGUCCUGAAGACUAGCAAUGAGGCCUUCUGCAGAGCCAAGACCUUGUUCACUUUUCUUCACCAGAUCUUGGAGGCGGCCAAUCU
Zalophus californianus (California sea lion) is the source of this 321-nucleotide long non-coding RNA. RefSeq lists it as uncharacterized. The record is from RefSeq and is a predicted model, not a curated record. NCBI's taxonomy places the organism in Eukaryota, Metazoa, Chordata, Mammalia, Carnivora, Otariidae. The transcript has 3 exons.